GGCUCGGAGCUAUGCAGUUUUAACGCCUGAACCGUGUCAGGGUCGGAAGGCAGCAGCACUAAGGGAUGCUUGAAAUAGGCGUAGUUUCCGGGUCAAA
This 97-nucleotide signal recognition particle RNA is filed under the name Cyanobacteria bacterium M5B4. RNAcentral's name for it is "signal recognition particle sRNA small type". It matches the Rfam family "Bacterial small signal recognition particle RNA". From Rfam's summary of the family: The signal recognition particle (SRP) is a universally conserved ribonucleoprotein involved in the co-translational targeting of proteins to membranes. Archaeal SRP consists of a 7S RNA and homologues of the eukaryotic SRP19 and SRP54 proteins. In most bacteria, the SRP consists of a 4.5S RNA and the Ffh protein (a homologue of the eukaryotic SRP54 protein). Lineage: Bacteria; Bacillati; Cyanobacteriota. The record is from RNAcentral. RNAcentral also lists the same sequence under 1 other name.